ACACGUCACAGGCCUUAAAAUCAAUUUCUCUUCUUUCUUUAAUAAUAAUUGCCUAUAUAACAUCAAAACUUCAAAAAUAUCUAAUUUAUCCAUACUUUUUAUUUCUAAUAUAUCUCUCGUAUGUUUCUCCGUUAUACAACAUGAGUUAAAUAUCUACCAAAAUUUUUUAAAAAAUAAAAUUAUUUCUUUUAUUUUUAACUUAAGGGUAAAUAAGAAAAGUUGGUAAUAGUAGGAUAUAUUUGAAAAGACUAAAAAUUAAAAUACUUUUUUUGUCCCCAAUUUAAUGGCAAAUAAAAAAACAGAAUUUCAAAAAGAUAACGGCUUAAUUCUGAAAUAACUUGAAACGUAAAAAAAGUAUUUUUAAUACUAGCCUUCUAAGAGGAGGUAAAUCAGAAAGUCAAAAAUUUUUCAAGAAUAUAUAAGCAAUUG
This 429-nucleotide long non-coding RNA is filed under the name Ananas comosus (pineapple). RNAcentral's name for it is "long non-coding RNA (ACOM_LNC037812)". The record is from RNAcentral. Lineage: Eukaryota; Viridiplantae; Streptophyta; Magnoliopsida; Poales; Bromeliaceae.